GAUGAAGAACGUAGCGAAAUGCGAUAAGUAAUGUGAAUUGCAGAAUUCAGUGAAUCAUCGAAUCUUUGAACGCACCUUGCGCCCUUUGGCUAUUCCGAAGGGCAUGCCUGUUUGAGUAUCAUGAACACCUCAACUCUCAUGGUUUGCCAUGAUGAGCUUGGACUUUGGGGGUCUUGCCGGCCUAUGGGUCGGCUCCUCUCAAAUGAAUCAGCUUGCCGGUUUUUGGUGGGCAUCACAGGUGUGAUAACUAUCUACGCUUGUGGUUUUCCACCAGGGUAACCUUCAGCAGUGGAGGUUCACUGGAGCUUACAAAUGUCUCUCCUCUGUGAGGACAGCCCUUUGAAUGUUUGAUCUCAAAUCAGGUAGGACUACCCGCUGAACUUAAGCAUAUCAAUAAGCGGAGGA
This 405-nucleotide unclassified non-coding RNA is filed under the name soil metagenome. RNAcentral describes it as "partial contains 5.8S ribosomal RNA, internal transcribed spacer 2, and large subunit ribosomal RNA". The stretch from base 1 to 121 matches the Rfam family "5.8S ribosomal RNA", at positions 35 to 154 of the family's 154-position model. The record is from RNAcentral.